Molecule: ribosomal RNA, 854 nt
Filed under: marine metagenome
Description: bacterial SSU rRNA
Rfam family: Bacterial small subunit ribosomal RNA
Source: RNAcentral
GGAAAGCAGAAUUUCUAGUGUAGAGGUGAAAAUCGUAGAUAUUAGAAAGAAUACCAAAUGCGAAGGGCAGCUUUCUGGAUCAUUACUGACACUGAGGAACGAAAGCAUGGGUAGCGAAGAGGAUUAGAUACCCUCGUAGUCCAUGCCGUAAACGAUGUGUGUUAGACGUUGGAAAUUUAUUUUCAGUGUCGCAGCGAAAGCGAUAAACACACCGCCUGGGGAGUACGACCGCAAGGUUAAAACUCAAAUGAAUUGACGGGGACCCGCACAAGUAGUGGAGCAUGUGGUUUAAUUCGAAGAUACGCGCAGAACCUUACCAACACUUGACAUGUUCGUCGCGACUUUAAGAGAUUAAAGUUUUCGGUUCGGCCGGACGAAACACAGGUGCUGCAUGGCUGUCGUCAGCUCGUGUCGUGAGAUGUUGGGUUAAGUCCCGCAACGAGCGCAACCCUCACUUUUAGUUGCCAUCAUUAAGUUGGGCACUCUGAAAGAACUGCCAGUGAUAAGCUGGAGGAAGGUGGGGAUGACGUCAAGUCCUCAUGGCCCUUACGUGUUGGGCUACACACGUGCUACAAUGGUAUCUACAACAGGAAGCGAAACAGCGAUGUUAAGCAAAUCCUUAAAAGAUACCUCAGUUCGGAUUGCACUCUGCAACUCGAGUGCAUGAAGCUGGAAUUACUAGUAAUCGUGGAUCAGCGUGCCACGGUGAAUGCGUUCCCGGGUCUUGUACACACCGCCCGUCACACCAUGGGAGUUGGUUCUACCUUAAGGCAAGGUUUAAUACCCUUGACCACGGUAUAGUCAGCGACUGGGGUGAAGUCGUAACAAGGUAGCCGUAGGGGAACCUGCGGCUG